CCUACGGGAGGCAGCAGUGGGGAAUAUUGGGCAAUGGGCGCAAGCCUGACCCAGCAAUGCCGCGUGAAGGAAGAAGGCUUUCGGGUUGUAAACUUCUUUUAAGAGGGAAGAGUAGAAGACGGUACCUCUUGAAUAAGCCACGGCUAACUACGUGCAAGCAGUCGCGGUAAUACGUAGGUGGCAAGCGUUGUCCGGAUUUACUGGGUGUACAGGGCGUGUAGCCGGGCCGGCAAGUCAGAUGUGAAAUCCAAAGGCUCAACGUUGGAACUGCAGUUGAAACUGUUGGUCUUGAGUAUCGGAGAGGCAGGCGGAAUUCCUAGUGUAGCGGGGAAAUGCGUAGAUAUUAGGAGGAACACCAGUGGCGAAGGCGGCCUGCUGGACGACAACUGACGGUGAGGCGCGAAAGCGUGGGGAGCAAACAGGAUUAGAUACCCCUGUAGUC
This 442-nucleotide ribosomal RNA is filed under the name uncultured bacterium. Its description in RNAcentral is "partial 16S ribosomal RNA". It matches the Rfam family "Bacterial small subunit ribosomal RNA", at positions 338 to 795 of the family's 1533-position model. The record is from RNAcentral.